GGUGCCUACGGGACGCAGCAGUGGGGAAUAUUGGGCAAUGGGCGCAAGCCUGACCCAGCAACGCCGCGUGAAGGAAGAAGGCUUUCGGGUUGUAAACUUCUUUUAUGAGGGACGAAACAAAUGACGGUACCUCAUGAAUAAGCCACGGCUAACUACGUGCCAGCAGCCGCGGUAAUACGUAGGUGGCAAGCGUUAUCCGGAUUUACUGGGUGUAAAGGGCGUGUAGGCGGGACUGCAAGUCAGAUGUGAAAACUAUGGGCUCAACCCAUAGCCUGCAUUUGAAACUAUCGUUCUUGAGUGUUGGG
Molecule: ribosomal RNA, 305 nt
Filed under: uncultured bacterium
Lineage: Bacteria
Description: bacterial SSU rRNA
Rfam family: Bacterial small subunit ribosomal RNA
Source: RNAcentral